RNAcentral lists this ribosomal RNA (410 nucleotides) under uncultured bacterium. Its description in RNAcentral is "bacterial SSU rRNA". It matches the Rfam family "Bacterial small subunit ribosomal RNA", at positions 355 to 774 of the family's 1533-position model. The record is from RNAcentral.
UCGAGAAUCUUCGGCAAUGGGCGCAAGCCUGACCGAGCGACGCCGCGUGGAGGAUGAAGGCCUUCGGGUUGUAAACUCCUGUCGAGGGGGAGGAAGGGGCAACCUUGACCGAUCCCUGGAGGAAGCACGGGCUAAGUUCGUGCCAGCAGCCGCGGUAAGACGAACCGUGCGAACGUUAUUCGGAAUCACUGGGCUUAAAGCGCGUGUAGGCGGAUGGGUGCGUCGGCUUCUGAAAGCCCCCGGCUCAACCGGGGAAGUGGGGCCGAAACGACCCGUCUGGAGGGACGUAGGGGGAUCUGGAACUUCCGGUGGAGCGGUGAAAUGCGUUGAGAUCGGAAGGAACGCCCGUGGCGAAAGCGAGAUCCUGGACGUUUUCUGACGCUGAGACGCGAAAGCUAGGGGAGCAAACG